AAGUCUGACCUGCCCACUGAAAUAUUUAAAUGGCCGCAGUAUUCUAACUGUGCAAAGGUAGCAUAAUCAUUAGUCUUUUAAUUGAAGGCUGGUAUGAACGGUUGGACGAGGUAUAAGCUGUUUCAUUUAAAUUUAUAGUAGAAUUUUAUAUUUUAGUUAAAAAGCUAAAAUUUUAUUAAAAGACGAGAAGACCCUAUAAAUCUUUAUAUUUUAUUUUAUUUAAGUUUUUUGGAUUUAGUUUAUUUUUAUAUUAUAAAAUAUUUUGUUGGGGUGAUGGUAAAAUUUAAUGAACUUUUAAUUAUUUAAAAUCAUUAAUUUAUGAGUUAUUGAUCCAGUAUUAUUGAUUAUAAGAUUAAGUUACUUUAGGGAUAACAGCGUAAUUUUUUUGGAGAGUUCAUAUCGAUAAAAAAGUUUGCGACCUCGAUGUUGGAUUAAGAUAUAAUUUUAGGUGUAGCCGCUUAAAU
Molecule: ribosomal RNA, 464 nt
Filed under: Bactrocera tigrina
Lineage: Eukaryota; Metazoa; Arthropoda; Insecta; Diptera; Tephritidae
Description: partial large subunit ribosomal RNA
Rfam family: Bacterial large subunit ribosomal RNA
Source: RNAcentral